CUGUUUUAGCAUGAUGUUCUACUGUGGACUUCAACAAUUACAUCUGUAUUUUCCAUUCAGUACACUAUAAUUUUAUUAAGAAAAAUAAUAAUUCCAGAAUAGACAUUCUUUUAAAAAUGAUCUUAUUACGUUGUCAUGUGCCUGAUUUAAAACUUCCUAAAAAUUUUUUUUCAGUAAGUCCAUCUUUUUCUUGUUUUUUCUCCCCCAGUGGUCAUAUGCAUUAGAAAAACCCAACACUGGCAGCAUAUUUAAUAUUGCAUGGUCUAUCGAUGGCACUCAGAUUGCUGGAGCCUGUGGAAAUGGACAUGUCGUUUUUGCACAUGUGGUGGAACAACAUUGGGAGUGGAAAAAUUUUCAAGUAACAUUAACGAAAAGAAGAGCCAUGCAGGUUCGUAAUGUUCUUAAUGAUGCAGUGGAUUUACUGGAAUUCCGUGAUAGAGUCAUUAAAGCAUCUUUGAACUAUGCACACUUAGUUGUUUCAACGUCUCUUCAAUGUUACGUGUUCUCCACGAAGAACUGGAACACACCAAUUAUAUUUGAUCUCAAAGAAGGA
Molecule: long non-coding RNA, 553 nt
Filed under: Homo sapiens (human)
Lineage: Eukaryota; Metazoa; Chordata; Mammalia; Primates; Hominidae
Description: non-protein coding lnc-IFT80-4:9
Source: RNAcentral